Molecule: ribosomal RNA, 456 nt
Filed under: Nigrospora sp. GZUCCKY0014
Lineage: Eukaryota; Fungi; Ascomycota; Sordariomycetes; Amphisphaeriales; Apiosporaceae
Description: eukaryotic LSU rRNA
Rfam family: 5.8S ribosomal RNA (bases 112-265)
Source: RNAcentral
GUUGCCUCGGCGCAAGCUACCCGGGACCUCGCGCCCCGGGGGGCCCGCCGGCGGACAAACCAAACUCUGUUAUCUUCGUUGAUUAUCUGAGUGUCUUAUUUAAUAAGUCAAAACUUUCAACAACGGAUCUCUUGGUUCUGGCAUCGAUGAAGAACGCAGCGAAAUGCGAUAAGUAAUGUGAAUUGCAGAAUUCAGUGAAUCAUCGAAUCUUUGAACGCACAUUGCGCCCAUUAGUAUUCUAGUGGGCAUGCCUGUUCGAGCGUCAUUUCAACCCCUAAGCACAGCUUAUUGUUGGGACUCUACGGCUUCGUAGUUCCCCAAAGACAUUGGCGGAGUGGCAGCAGUCCUCUGAGCGUAGUAAUUCUUUAUCUCGCUUUUGUUAGGCGCUGCCCCCCCGGCCGUAAAACCCCCAAUUUUUUCUGGUUGACCUCGGAUCAGGUAGGAAUACCCGCUGAA